UACGGAGGAUCCAAGCGUUAUCCGGAAUCAUUGGGUUUAAAGGGUCCGUAGGCGGCUUUAUAAGUCAGUGGUGAAAUCCGGCAGCUCAACUGUCGAACUGCCAUUGAUACUGUAGGGCUUGAAUUAUUGUGAAGUAACUAGAAUAUGUAGUGUAGCGGUGAAAUGCGUAGAUAUCAAGAGGAACACCUGAGGUGAAGACGGGUUGCUGGGCCAACACUGACGCUGAGGCGCGAAAGCGUGGGGAGCGAACAGG
This 253-nucleotide ribosomal RNA is filed under the name uncultured bacterium. RNAcentral's name for it is "partial 16S ribosomal RNA". It matches the Rfam family "Bacterial small subunit ribosomal RNA", at positions 524 to 776 of the family's 1533-position model. The record is from RNAcentral.